GAUCCUGGCUCAGGAUGAACGCUGGCGGCGUGCCUAAUACAUGCAAGUAGAACGCUGAUGCUUGGUGCUUGCACCGAGCGGAUGAGUUGCGAACGGGUGAGUAACGCGUAGGUAACCUGCCUCUUAGCGGGGGAUAACUAUUGGAAACGAUAGCUAAUACCGCAUAAAAGUCGACAUUGCAUGAUGUUGACUUGAAAGGUGCAAUUGCAUCACUAAGAGAUGG
Molecule: ribosomal RNA, 223 nt
Filed under: uncultured bacterium
Lineage: Bacteria
Description: partial 16S ribosomal RNA
Rfam family: Bacterial small subunit ribosomal RNA
Source: RNAcentral